RNAcentral lists this ribosomal RNA (460 nucleotides) under uncultured bacterium. RNAcentral describes it as "partial 16S ribosomal RNA". It matches the Rfam family "Bacterial small subunit ribosomal RNA", at positions 338 to 795 of the family's 1533-position model. The record is from RNAcentral.
CCUACGGGUGGCAGCAGUGAGGAAUAUUGGUCAAUGGGCGCGAGCCUGACCCAGCCAAGUCGCGUGAGGGAUGAAGGUUCUAUGGAUCGUAAACCUCUUUUAUAAGGGAAUAAAGUGUGGGACGUGUCGUCUUUUGUAUGUACCUUAUGAAUAAGGAUCGGAUAACUCCGUUCCAGCAGCCGCGGUAAUACGGAGGAUCCGAGCGUUAUCCGGAUUUAUUGGGUUUAACGGGUGCGUAGGCGGCCUUUUAAGUCAGCGGUGAAAGUCAGUGGCUCAACCAUAGAAUUGCAGUUGAAACUGGGGGGCUUGAGUAUGUUAGAGGCAGGCAGAAGGCGUGGUGUAGCGGUGAAAUGCUUAGAGAUCACGCAGAACCCCGAUUGCGAAGGCAGCCUGCCAAGCCAUGACUGACGCUGAUGCACGAAAGCGUGGGGAUCAAACAGGAUUAGAUACCCUGGUAGUC